UGCAGUCGANCGGCAGCACGGAGCUUGCUCUGGUGGCGAGUGGCGAACGGGUGAGUAAUGCGUCGGAACGUAUCCAAUAAUGGGGGAUAACGCAGCGAAAGCUGUGCUAAUACCGCAUACGCCCUCCGGGGGAAAGCAGGGGAUCUUCGGACCUUGCGUUAAUGGAGCGGCCGACGUCUGAUUAGCUAGUUGGUAGGGUAAAGGCCUACCAAGGCGACGAUCAGUAGCUGGUCUGAGAGGAUGAUCAGCCACACUGGGACUGAGACACGGCCCAGACUCCUACGGGAGGCAGCAGUGGGGAAUUUUGGACAAUGGGCGCAAGCCUGAUCCAGCCAUUCCGCGUGAGUGAAGAAGGCCUUCGGGUUGUAAAGCUCUUUCAGGAGGGAAGAAACGAUUGUGGCUAAUACCCAUGAUUAAUGACGGUACCUCCAGAAGAAGCACCGGCUAACUACGUGCCAGCAGCCGCGGUAAUACGUAGGGUGCGAGCGUUAAUCGGAAUUACUGGGCGUAAAGCGUGCGCAGGCGGUUUUUCAAGUCUGAUGUGAAAUCCCCGGGCUUAACCUGGGAACUGCGUUGGAAACUGAAAGACUAGAGUGCGGCAGAGGGGGGUAGAAUUCCACGUGUAGCAGUGAAAUGCGUAGAUAUGUGGAGGAAUACCGAUGGCGAAGGCAGCCCCCUGGGUCGACACUGACGCUCAUGCACGAAAGCGUGGGUAGCAAACAGGAUUAGAUACCCUGGUAGUCCACGCCCUAAACGAUGUCAACUAGUUGUUGGGGGAGGGAGACCUCCUUAGUAACGCAGCUAACGCGUGAAGUUGACCGCCUGGGGAGUACGGUCGCAAGAUUAAAACUCAAAGGAAUUGACGGGGGCCCGCACAAGCGGNGGNUUAUGNNGNNUNAUUUCGAUGCANCGCGAAAAA
This 919-nucleotide ribosomal RNA is filed under the name uncultured bacterium. Its description in RNAcentral is "bacterial SSU rRNA". It matches the Rfam family "Bacterial small subunit ribosomal RNA", at positions 56 to 968 of the family's 1533-position model. The record is from RNAcentral.